RNAcentral lists this transfer RNA (76 nucleotides) under Hyphomicrobium sp. RNAcentral describes it as "tRNA-Thr". It matches the Rfam family "tRNA". Rfam says of the family: Transfer RNA (tRNA) molecules are approximately 80 nucleotides in length. Lineage: Bacteria; Pseudomonadati; Pseudomonadota; Alphaproteobacteria; Hyphomicrobiales; Hyphomicrobiaceae. The record is from RNAcentral. RNAcentral also lists the same sequence under 3 other names.
GCCGCAAUAGCUCAGUCGGUAGAGCACGUCAUUCGUAAUGACGGGGUCGGGGGUUCGAUUCCCUCUUGCGGCACCA